GGCGUGGCAGAGGCGACGUGCUGGGCGCAGCGUGGAGGCAACAGCGUGGCCUGCUCCAAAUCCGGGCGACGGCAACGACUCGUAGGGCUAGGAUCUGGACGGCGGCACAACACCCGACCACUUCCUCCCUCUCCUCAGCAUCGCGUCGAGCGGAUCGACAGCAGUGGCGCCAUGGUGACCUAGAUUUGGGCAUGAUGCCCUAGGCCCAUUUUGACCCAGAUCUAGGCCCGUGCGACCUUUUUCUUUUUUUUGUUUAUUUUCAUCGAUUAACGUAGGCGAGCACAUAACCGCCUCCGUUAAUCCUCAUUUAUUGUAACCUUACAUCGGAGGCGGUUCUCUAUGCCCGUCUCCGAAAAUAAAAAACAACCGCCUCUGUAAAAGUUUUAUGUAGUAGUGAGAUCCAUCACAGGAGCAGCGGAUCUAGCUCAAGCGUGACAGGCACUUGUGUGGCGAAUCCAGCUCAGGGACAUCGAGAUUGGCAUGUGGCCCGCGCACACAUGAAUUUGAAGAGCAGCAAUGACGCACGUGGAUGAUGGGCAUGGCAGGAUCGUCCAUCUCAUUGUUUAGCUAUUUUGUAAAAAAAAAAU
Molecule: long non-coding RNA, 587 nt
Filed under: Sorghum bicolor (sorghum)
Lineage: Eukaryota; Viridiplantae; Streptophyta; Magnoliopsida; Poales; Poaceae
Description: long non-coding RNA (SBIC_LNC007694)
Source: RNAcentral